Molecule: ribosomal RNA, 254 nt
Filed under: uncultured bacterium
Lineage: Bacteria
Description: partial 16S ribosomal RNA
Rfam family: Bacterial small subunit ribosomal RNA
Source: RNAcentral
UACGAAGGGGGCGAGCGUUGUUCGGAUUUACUGGGCGUAAAGGGCGCGUAGGCGGCCAGCACAAGUCAGUUGUGAAAUCUCCGAGCUUAACUCGGAAAGGUCAACUGAUACUGUGCGGCUAGAGUGCGGAAGGGGCAACUGGAAUUCUUGGUGUAGCGGUGAAAUGCGUAGAUAUCAAGAGGAACACCUGCGGCGAAGGCGACUCUUUGGUCUGUAACUGACGCUGAGGCGCGAAAGCGUGGGGAGCAAACAGG